UACGUAGGGUGCAAGCGUUAAUCGGAAUUACUGGGCGUAAGGCGUGCGCAGGCGGCUUUGCAAGACAGAUGUGAAAUCCCCGGGCUCAACCUGGGAACUGCAUUUGUGACUGCAAGGCUAGAGUACGGUAGAGGGGGAUGGAAUUCCGCGUGUAGCAGUGAAAUGCGUAGAUAUGUGGAGGAACACCGAUGGCGAAGGCAGCCCCCUGGGAUGUGACUGACGCUCAUGUACGAAAGCGUGGGGAGCAAACAGG
This 253-nucleotide ribosomal RNA is filed under the name uncultured bacterium. RNAcentral describes it as "partial 16S ribosomal RNA". It matches the Rfam family "Bacterial small subunit ribosomal RNA", at positions 524 to 776 of the family's 1533-position model. The record is from RNAcentral.